GAGGGUAUAGCUCAGUGGUAGAGCACAUGCUGAGCAUGCACAAGGUCAUGGGUUCAAUCCCUAGUACCUCG
Molecule: transfer RNA, 71 nt
Filed under: Camelus ferus (Wild Bactrian camel)
Lineage: Eukaryota; Metazoa; Chordata; Mammalia; Artiodactyla; Camelidae
Rfam family: tRNA
About the family: Transfer RNA (tRNA) molecules are approximately 80 nucleotides in length. Their secondary structure includes four short double-helical elements and three loops (D, anti-codon, and T loops).
Source: Rfam by way of RNAcentral